Molecule: ribosomal RNA, 465 nt
Filed under: Vreelandella stevensii
Lineage: Bacteria; Pseudomonadati; Pseudomonadota; Gammaproteobacteria; Oceanospirillales; Halomonadaceae
Description: partial 16S ribosomal RNA
Rfam family: Bacterial small subunit ribosomal RNA
Source: RNAcentral
CCUACGGGAUGCAGCAGUGGGGAAUAUUGGACAAUGGGGGCAACCCUGAUCCAGCCAUGCCGCGUGUGUGAAGAAGGCCCUCGGGUUGUAAAGCACUUUCAGUGAGGAAGAACGCCUGGUGGUUAAUACCCAUCAGGAAAGACAUCACUCACAGAAGAAGCACCGGCUAACUCCGUGCCAGCAGCCGCGGUAAUACGGAGGGUGCGAGCGUUAAUCGGAAUUACUGGGCGUAAAGCGCGCGUAGGUGGCUUGAUAAGCCGGUUGUGAAAGCCCCGGGCUCAACCUGGGAACGGCAUCCGGAACUGUCAAGCUAGAGUGCAGGAGAGGAAGGUAGAAUUCCCGGUGUAGCGGUGAAAUGCGUAGAGAUCGGGAGGAAUACCAGUGGCGAAGGCGGCCUUCUGGACUGACACUGACACUGAGGUGCGAAAGCGUGGGUAGCAAACAGGAUUAGAUACCCUGGUAGUC